UUUGCGCAAUUCAACCUCUCUCUGUAUUUUACAUAGGGACUAAGUGACUGAGGGGAAACAUUUUAUUGAACACGAUGCAUUGGUAAAUAGAAAAUACAUUGUAAACCAUUGAAGAGAUUCUUUCGAAUGAGUUGCGUUUUUUGGUCCAUUGCGGAACCAACUGACCGCCGGUGCGUCCCGGCUGGGAGCUCGCUCAUGAUGUGUUUCGCGCGCCAUAAGAGGCCGGAACUAGCAAACCAUGGGAAUCGCAUAAUAGUGUCACAUGAAGUUUCGAUUACAACCCAGACCAAGGGACUCACUAACCGGUCUUGUAGGGAUCAAGACACAUGGAAUACAUCAGGUUGGGUCACCACAGCAACCUUGGAUGGAGGCGAAGUAUGAGGAGAGGGCGAUCGUUCAUUAAAGUCACAGUGAAGGACUGCACAACAGAACCUCCAUUUUCCCUCAUCUGGAUAGAAUAGGAAUUACACCACCAUCUAGAUUACAUUUAACCUACUGUACACGACUGUGCAGAUUCCUUGGCUAAAGAGGAUCAUUGGAACACAAACAUGUCGCGAUGUAUCAGGUAUAAAUGCAUGUUUCAAAUAUGUUUUUCAAAAAUGUUUUUUUGAAAAGAAAGACCAUGUGAAAUAAUUUAAGAUUAAAUGAGAUCGGUAUUAGACUCGUUGCGUGUCCAUUGGUACUUUGGAAGAUGCACAGUAAAACUAUAGAGCUGUUUCUGCCGCUUACUACAGGGCAAAUGACUUAAUACAAUGUGUCGAUUUCUAUCAAUAACCAAAUUACUAAGUAUAUUUAUUCUCAUUCAAGUUUUGUAUUGUGUCUUUAUGAAAGUAUGUCUGAGGAGAUAAUCGUUUAAACGUCUGCACUUUAACGCGGAAGAGAGCACAGCAUUUCAUGUUGUUAAGUGGCAAUAUUACAUAAUGCCAACAAGUUAGUUUAACUUUUUUCCACAGCUUUUUAAAAUUCAUUUCCAUAUUAUCAAAUCAUUAUUUAUGACUAUUUGCACCGUUAUAUAUUUUGUCCAGCAGGUUUACAUUGAUACAAGCAUGGUUUGACUAAUCUUCUUUUACUUCUGGAAUAUUCAUAAACAAUGCUAAAUGUAGGCCUAUAAUUUGAUUAUAAGCAUUACGUGGAAAUUGAAUGUAAUAUAUUUGAUUUGAUUAUUUCUGUAGCCAAUAAUUAUUUAAACCUUUUAAUCGAGUCUGAGCUUCUUAAUACUUUCAAUAUUGCAUUAUGCAUGUUUAUAGCCUAAAAAAGAGACCCUCAAAAUUGACUGAAGUCUAUGUAUGGAGUCUGUGAAGUCUUUUUUUGGGGUGCAUAAAUACGAAGGACAUCCUGCUGGUAAAGUGGAUAGGUUGUGUUCAAGUGUGGCUCUGCAAAAGUCACGUGACAAAACCAAACUAAAACUAAAAGGUUCCCCAAAUGUCAGUUGUGAAAUGAAGAACAUUUCCAUUAAUUUCAUUUUCUUUUUGUAACGGUUGACAGAUAUGCUCACUUUUUAUUCAGUAGUCCUCACAUACGGGAGCCUGCUCAUUUAAAUAAAACGAACAGACUUGAAAUAGAGUAAAUUUGAGAUAACGAAUCAGCCUAAAACGUAUAUUGUCUCUCGUUUGAUUUCCAGGAGAAGAUUGAAAGAUGUGUUUCAGUCUAAUGAAUGCAUUCUUUCAAUCAAAAAUAACACAAUAAUAAAUAAAUAAAAACAACCGACACCAAGUAGUUAUGUUUUUCCAUUGAUAAUUUGAUCGAAUAGUUCAAAAGUUGGUGUUACUGGUGUUGCUCAAACAAGGACACUCUCCAGUUGUGGUUGCGGCCAAGUGUGCGCACGGGCCUGGGUCCCUACAGGUGUCCACUUCUCGUGCCAUGACACCGCUGUGGUUACACACCAUUACACAGGAGGCUAGUGUGCCCUUACACCAGUUUGGCACACACUUCACCACCGCAAAACUGUAUGUCCAUUUUUUAAACUUCAACUGAACAUGGUGUGUGAGGGGUGUAGGCAGACUGGUGGUUUCGUCACUGUACGUGCAGGGCUUAUGAGUCGUGUUCAUGUGAAGGCCUUAUGCAUUAAACGCCGUGCACACAGCAGGCUUAAACGUAUCUAUAGAUGAAGCGGAGCUCGUGUAAUUUGUUUAGGUCCACGUUAUCCAGAAAUUACUUUUGUCACCUCAGUUGCGUCUCGUGAAGACGCCAGUAAUUGUAUUUCACACAUGUUACUGUAGGUCUUUAUACUAGGCUAUACCAUUCAUCUUAAAAGCCCAGUGCAGUCAAAACUGGGAUUUUUCUGUGUUUUA
This is a long non-coding RNA of Oncorhynchus tshawytscha (Chinook salmon), 2291 nucleotides long. RefSeq lists it as uncharacterized. The transcript has 4 exons. The record is from RefSeq and is a predicted model, not a curated record. NCBI's taxonomy places the organism in Eukaryota, Metazoa, Chordata, Actinopteri, Salmoniformes, Salmonidae.